This 465-nucleotide ribosomal RNA is filed under the name uncultured Klebsiella sp. RNAcentral's name for it is "bacterial SSU rRNA". It matches the Rfam family "Bacterial small subunit ribosomal RNA", at positions 338 to 795 of the family's 1533-position model. Lineage: Bacteria; Pseudomonadati; Pseudomonadota; Gammaproteobacteria; Enterobacterales; Enterobacteriaceae. The record is from RNAcentral.
CCUACGGGUGGCUGCAGUGGGGAAUAUUGCACAAUGGGCGCAAGCCUGAUGCAGCCAUGCCGCGUGUGUGAAGAAGGCCUUCGGGUUGUAAAGCACUUUCGGCGGGGAGGAAGGCGGUGAGGUUAAUAACCUCAUCGAUUGACGUUACCCGCAGAAGAAGCACCGGCUAACUCCGUGCCAGCAGCCGCGGUAAUACGGAGGGUGCAAGCGUUAAUCGGAAUUACUGGGCGUAAAGCGCACGCAGGCGGUCUGUCAAGUCGGAUGUGAAAUCCCCGGGCUCAACCUGGGAACUGCAUUCGAAACUGGCAGGCUAGAGUCUUGUAGAGGGGGGUAGAAUUCCAGGUGUAGCGGUGAAAUGCGUAGAGAUCUGGAGGAAUACCGGUGGCGAAGGCGGCCCUCUGGACAAAGACUGACGCUCAGGUGCGAAAGCGUGGGGAGCAAACAGGAUUAGAUACCCGGGUAGUC